ACGCUCGACACCUACGGGAGGCAGCAGUGGGGAAUAUUGGGCAAUGGAGGCAACUCUGACCCAGCAACGCCGCGUGAAUGAUGAAGGUCUUCGGAUUGUAAAGUUCUGUGACGGGGGACGAACACAAUGACGGUACCCCGAUAGCAAGCCACGGCUAACUACGUGCCACAGCCGCGGUAAUCUGAGCGGCUGGCAAGGC
Molecule: ribosomal RNA, 199 nt
Filed under: uncultured bacterium
Lineage: Bacteria
Description: partial 16S ribosomal RNA
Rfam family: Bacterial small subunit ribosomal RNA
Source: RNAcentral